RNAcentral lists this ribosomal RNA (406 nucleotides) under uncultured bacterium. RNAcentral's name for it is "partial 16S ribosomal RNA". It matches the Rfam family "Bacterial small subunit ribosomal RNA", at positions 30 to 526 of the family's 1533-position model. The record is from RNAcentral.
AUUGAACGCUGGCGGCAGGCCUAACACAUGCAAGUCGAACGAGUGGCGGACGGGUGAGUACUGUCUGGGAAACUGCCCGAUGGAGGUGGAUAACUACUGGAAACGGUAGCUAAUACCGCAUACCAUCGGAUGUGCCCAGAUGGGAUUAGCGAUUGGGUGGGGUAACGGCUCCCCUAGGCGACGAUCCCGAGCUGGUCUGCGAGGAUGACGAGACAUCCUGGAACUGAUACACGGUCCAGACUCUGACGGGGGUCAGAAGUGGGGAAGAUUGGACAAUGGGCGCAAGCCUGAUGCAUCCAUGCCGGGUGUAGGAAGAGGGCCUUCGGGUUGUAAAGUACGUUCAGCGAGGAGGCGUUUCUCGCAGAAGAAGCACCGGCUAACUCCGUGCCAGCCGCCGCGGUAAUUC